AUUGAACGCUGGCGGCAUGCCUUACACAUGCCAGUCGAACGGUAACAGGUCUUCGGAUGCUGACGAGUGGCGCACGGGUGAGUAAUACAUCGGAACGUGCCCGAUCGUGGGGGAUAACGAGGCGAAAGCUUUGCUAAUACCGCAUACGAUCUACGGAUGAAAGCGGGGGAUCUUCGGACCUCGCGCGGACGGAGCGGCCGAUGGCAGAUUAGGUAGUUGGUGGGAUAAAAGCUUACCAAGCCGACGAUCUGUAGCUGGUCUGAGAGGAUGAUCAGCCACACUGGGACUGAGACACGGCCCAGACUCCUACGGGAGGCAGCAGUGGGGAAUUUUGGACAAUGGGCGAAAGCCUGAUCCAGCCAUGCCGCGUGCAGGAUGAAGGCCUUUGGGUUGUAAAAUGCUUUUGUACGGAACGAAAAGCCUCUUUCUAAUAAAGAGGGGUCAUGACGGUACCGUAAGAAUAAGCACCGGCUAACUACGUG
RNAcentral lists this ribosomal RNA (482 nucleotides) under uncultured bacterium. RNAcentral's name for it is "partial 16S ribosomal RNA". It matches the Rfam family "Bacterial small subunit ribosomal RNA", at positions 30 to 507 of the family's 1533-position model. The record is from RNAcentral.